GAGGGUAUAGCUCAGUGGUAAAGUGCAUGCCUAGCAUGCUGUGAGGUCCUGGGUUCAAUCCCCAGUACCUCCA
Molecule: transfer RNA, 73 nt
Filed under: Camelus bactrianus (Bactrian camel)
Lineage: Eukaryota; Metazoa; Chordata; Mammalia; Artiodactyla; Camelidae
Also listed under: 2 other names
Rfam family: tRNA
About the family: Transfer RNA (tRNA) molecules are approximately 80 nucleotides in length. Their secondary structure includes four short double-helical elements and three loops (D, anti-codon, and T loops). Further hydrogen bonds mediate the characteristic L-shaped molecular structure. tRNAs have two regions of fundamental functional importance: the anti-codon, which is responsible for specific mRNA codon recognition, and the 3' end, to which the tRNAs corresponding amino acid is attached (by aminoacyl-tRNA synthetases). tRNAs cope with the degeneracy of the genetic code in two manners: having more than one tRNA (with a specific anti-codon) for a particular amino acid; and 'wobble' base-pairing, i.e. permitting non-standard base-pairing at the 3rd anti-codon position.
Source: Rfam by way of RNAcentral